GAUUUGACCACAGCCGCUUGGUGGAGCAUAUCGGCUAAUUUGACACUACGAAUGUACAAACCACACAAAAACACGUAAAACAAUCAAACAAACAAACAAAACAAAAUGAAUAAAAAAUAUAGUGUCCAGUCCAACUAUACAGUCCCAAAUAAUGAAAAAUAUGAAAAUGUAAACCCAUUCUAUUCCAAACUAUCCCUAAACUACUCCUGAAUUAAGCUUCACCCGACGUUUCAGGCCUUGACCGGCAAAUGAACACGAAUACCUCGGGGCAUUCCCUGACCAAAUGAAUAUAUCUGAGAUAACUAGAAAAACGUUCAAAACAUAUAUCUAAACAUUCAACGCAUGCAAUCAACACAUCACUCCUAAAUUUUACCUACCCGAACCUAAAUAUUCUCCACUCUGUUGUGCGUAUUCCCCCUUGGAGAAGAUGAACUUUCUCUUUCUGCCCCCUUCUCUGUGGGUCCCCCUUUCCCCCUUUUUGUUUUAUAUUCUGUUAUAGACCCCAAAAAGGAAAAAUAUGAGGGGAAAUGGGUGGGGUGACGUGGGGAGUAGGGUAGGUUGUUAGGAUAAAGUUUGUUAGGAUAAGGUUAGGGAUUUAAUUUGUUAGAGAUUUUGUUAAGGGUUGUUAUUUUUGUAUUUUUGUGGGAUAUAAUUAUACGGAUGAGGACACGUAGUAAUACGGAGGUAAAAUGGUAAAAAUGCUGUCGGGGAGGGACAAAAUUAGGUGUCUACAUCAUGCCCCCUUUGAAUGUAAAUACGAAGUAUUUUCAGACAAAGAAGUAGACAACGAGACAGAAUUUUGUCCCGACCAUUAUUCAAAAAUGAAACAGAAAGAAGGAGGGAGACCAAGUCUUGAUUUAGGACAUCCUAUCUACCCAAGUUAUGAGGGAAUCAAGUCAUGAGUAUCUUAAAGGAUUGGAAAGAGAAGGACUAUACCGAGUUGGAGAGUCGAGUGAGGCUCCAUCGAGGUUUCGGUCCGCGGCUCUGUCAUUACAUCAAAAAAUGAAAAUUACAAGUUAAAAACAUAAAUGAAAUUAAAAAAAACUCUAUCUAUGCAGAUUUCCUUGAUUCUUGACUUGCUACUUCAUCACCCUAUUCUUCAGGUAGGCUCCUGACUUGCAAUUUCUUCACCCUGUUCUUCAGAUGGGCUCCUGACUUGCAAUUUCAUCACUCUAUUUUUUGGGCGAGCUCCCGACUUACAAUUUCAUCACUUGUUGCUUGGUUUUCAAUUUUUUCACCCUAUUUUUCAGACGGGUUCCUGACUUGCUAUUUUUUGAUUUGUUGACUUUUAAUUUCUUCACCUUAUUGCUUGACUUUCAACUUUUUCACCAUGUUGCUUGACUUUUCAUUUAUUCGGCCUGUUCUUCAGGCGGGCUCCUGAAAUCACAUCAAAACUAAAAAAAAAAAUUAUCCCAAACAAAGAUUAUUAUAAAGAGAUUUCAUUUGCCAGGAAAGCAAAGUUCCAAACACAAGAUUUAAAUUUUGCCCUAGUUUCUCAUCAAAGGACUUUUGGGAAAGUCACAUCAUUAUAGGAAUCAAAGGGAAUGACUCGACUAAAAGAUACAUCUUAUAGGAAUCAAAGGGAAUGACUCGACUAAAAGGUACGUCUUAUAGGAAUCAAGGGAAAUGACUCGACUAAAAGGUAUGUCUUCUAGGGGUCAAGGGGAAUGACUCGACUAAAAGGUACGUCUUAUAGGAAUCAAAGAGGAAUGACUCGACUAAAAGGUAUGUCUUAUAGGAAUCAAAGAGGAAUGACUCGACUAAAAGGUAUGUCUUAUAGGAAUCAAGGGGAAUGAGUCGACUGAAAGGUACAUCUUAUAGGAAUAAAAGGGAAUGACUCGACUUAAAGGUACGUCUUAUAGGAAUCAAGGAAUGACUCGACUAAAAGGUACGUCUUAUAGGAAUCAAAGGGAAUGACUUAACUAAACGGUACAUCUUAUAGGGGUCAAGGAAUGACUCAACUAGAAGGUACGUCUCCUAGGAGUGAGGUUCAAUUUAAGAAGUAUAUCACCUAGCAAAUGAAAACUGAAAUUCCUGGACAAGAAAGUGUGUCUCCGAGGAAUAUAGGAUGAUGAUUUUUUACCAUGAUUUGAUUAUCAAACCUGUGCAGCAACUUUGCUUCCUGCAUUUGUAGAAGUGAGGCAUUGCAACCCUUGAUAUUUAUGCUCUAAAGUCCUUUCUUUGAAGGUAAUAUGUUUCCUAUUUCAUCAAAGAAAACUUGUGAGUUUAAAACAUGGUGGCUGGUUUGUGGCUUUAGCUUUCGCGGCGAUCGCGCUUGCCCUCGUCACAUUUAACCUUGCUUCCAACCAUUAGCAUAUAUCAUUGACUUGCUGAAUCAUUGACCCGAACUUAGAUUAUUAAGAGUGACUAAAACAAACACGGUAUCACUACUUUGCCAUGCUUCUCAAAUAGACCCUUUGAAUCUUGGUAUUUUCAUGAGUUCCCUGACUUCUCUUUUGACAAAAUUUUCUGCAUGCCCUUUUUUGGCUCACAAUCAUGUCUCUUUUAUGUGCUAGCUUUUGUCUUGCUUUGUGCAAUUAAAGAAGCUGGUAGCCAGUUUUGAAAUCUUUUUUUUCUUGUUUUGACACGGACUUGACUCAAAGACAAGAAAAGAAAAAUGACAAUGACUUUUAUUAGGACAACUGACUCAAGAAAAUGAAAUAAAAAUAAAGAGAAGAAAGAAAAGACAAUGAAUGUCCCCAUUUGAAACAAAAAAAUAAAAAUUUAUCUAGAAAAGACAGUCAACUCUAAUGAUUAUGUCAUGCAUUUUGGAUUAAGCUGCCUGAUCUUUCCAUCCAAACUUCUACCAAUUGUUGUUGAGUUAAUGACCUUGAAAUUGAGUUGCUUUCUUAGGCCAAAUUCAUUCGGAAACCUCAUUCGGCUAGUGGCACCUUGAAGGGUUUUCGCCAACAAACCUGUUUCUUUGUCUCAGCUCACCAUUGUCUUAUGGUGCCCGUGAGAGUUUUCACCCAUAAGACUCUCAUUUUUAUUUCUCUCAACUUACCAUCAUCUUACGGUGCCCGUGAGGGUUUUCACCAAUAAGGCUCUCUUAUUUUAUUCCUCUCAUGAUUUCUUAGGCUGAGAAAGACAAGUAGUACCCAAAAUGCAUCAUCAUAUUCAUUGCAUACUUAGCCUUACCAUUCUCAAAUUAAUCUGAAGGUCUUUCUUUAGUUGCAACUUGACUUUUGGAUAAGGUUAGAAAGAAGGGAUGACAUGACCAAACGACACUUGAAGUGGUGUAGGACUUACAACUUUUGGAAUCGACUCAAACAAUGAAGUUUAACUCAUGCCCCAGUUUCUUUUGACUGGGUAAUUCUAAAUUGUUUAUUUAGUUGGACCGAGCUCAGAGUAGGACAACCUACGUAUCUCACCCCCGAGAGAGGAGAAUCAAGUCACGCAUAGUUCUGGCAACUUGUUCUUUUGCUUGAUUCUAAUUUUUUUUUUUGCUUUUCUCCUUUAUUGACUUUUUUUUCUCUUUGAAACUUUCUGACUCUAUGUUUCUCGACACUCUUCUUUUUACUUUCUUUUUGGACAUAUUUUCUUCUUCUUUUUCUUCUCUUUUUUUUUUGAAACUUUUCUGACUCGACUGUUUUGGUCGAUACUUUUUUUUUGAGCUUUGUUGACUCUAUCUACAUUCCAAAAGAGGGGUAUGAAAGAAAAUAACACUAAGGCUCAAAUGGGAUAAAUAAAGAAUGACACAAUAUUUGAAUAACAGAAUAAAAUGUCUUCGUCAUAUCAAUCUGUGAAAAUGCCAGUACAUAGCAUGCAAUGUGAAAGUACACGAUCAAUAUCACUUAUGACAUGUUUUACGACACUAACUUGCCCUGAGCAUAUGUGCCACCUCUUCUUCUACACUUGUCGAACAUACAACUCCACCUUUGUUGUGCAUCCCUCACAUUGAAUGACUUAUGCUUUCAUGGAGUUGAUUUUUGUUCUGUUCCUCGGGAGCACACAUCCGCUAUUUGACCUAAUUGAGCUAGGUUUUUCAAUUGAUGACCAAGUUAUUCUUGUGAUUCUCAAAAUAAUUUUCUUAAUUUUCGAAGAAGGCUUCAACUUAUCACAAAAUGUCUCAGCACUCCACCUAUUUUCUCAGAUGUUUUUCCUAACUUUAGCCCUCUGAUUCAAUGUUUCAUGGUUAAGUUGGAUUUUAAAAUUUGGCUGAAAAUUCCGCUAGCAUGUCAUAUCACUCAAAUCAACAUAAAAUGUACUGUAUAAAGAAAGCAAACAAACGACACAUAUUUAAACACAAAGGGAAAGGGAUAAUUCAUUUAGUUUAAAUAAAAGAUAGAAGGGUUUGAACAUAAACAACAAAGGGACAAAAGAAAAUAGAUCCUGAACUACAACUCUAAAAUAAUUCAAAAAACAGAAAAGAAGACAAAACAAACGACCAGACCUCUUCCUAGUAAGGAGAGGGGUGACUUCUUAAUUCUCAGCCUGACGACUUAGCCAUUGGUUUGCAUAUCAGCAUGACUAGAACUUCCCUCACUGUCAACGUUCUGCACCAUAAUUGAUCCAUCUUGAAUCAUCUUUUCAAUUUCUCUUUUCAAAUCUCGACAAUCUUCAAUACUAUGACCCUGAGCAUCAGAAUGAUACACACAUCGUAUAUUAGGAUUAAAAUUUCUUGAACGCCGAUUAAGAGUGCACCCAAGAAGAGGAGUGAUCAUGCCCCAUUGUACUAAUCUCUGAAAUAGACUGGCAUACGACUCUCCAAUUGGUGUGAAGCUAUCUCUCGAUUUUUACCUCAUUUCAUUAUUUGACUUGGAUCGAAAAUCAAGCUUAGAAGGGUUUUGGUAUGUUUGUGGAGUUAGAGGACGACUCUGAGGAGUUGGUGUGUUCCACUGUGGGUAAGAUGGGGGUUGAAUAUGAGGUGCGUUAUAUACUGGAUAUAGAGGUGGGGGAGCAGAGUAUAAUGGAUUUUGGGAGUGAUUAUGUGGAGCUUGGGCAUAAACUUGGGUUUGAUCCUGAGAGUGACGACAACGGGGUCUUCUUGACCGUGCCCGCUGUCCAACUACAAUAGAAGAUGCAACUUCCUAAUUCUUUGUCUCCCCAAUACUUCCUGAACCCUUUUAAAUUGCUUGUGUUGUCGCUUUCAAUGUUGCAAAACUCGCAAUGCGACCAGUCUUAAUUCCCUCUUCUAUCAUUUCCUCCAUUUUAAGGACCUCAAUAAAUGACUUGCCUAAUGCAAGUAACAAGAGUUUAUAAUAUGUUUCAUCCUGUGCUUAAAUAAACACCUCCACUAUUUUACUUUCUUUCAUUGGCGGUUUUACUCUAGUAGCUUGUUCGCGCCAUCUGAUCGCAUACUCCCUGAAACUCUUAGUAUUCUUCUUUUUUAUACUAUUUAGGGAUUUUUCGUCAGGGAUCAACUCCACAUUGUAUUGAAAUUGUUGCAUAAAUUCAUUAGCUAGGUCAUCCCAACUAAUCCACUUGUCAAUGUCUUGGUCAACAAACUAUUCCGAAGCUAGGCCUGAAAGACUCUCCCCGAAAUAAGCCAUCAGUAGUUCUUCCUUCCCUCCAGCGCCCCUUAAUUGGUUACAAUAGCACCUCAAAUGUGCCACUGGGUCCCCAUGUCCGUCAUACUUCUCAAACUUUGGCAUUUUAAAGCCAGGAGGAAGGUUGACACAUGGAAACAUGCAUAACUCCUUAUACGAGACACUUUUGUAACCCCCAAAUGCUUGCAAGUUCUUCAUAGCCAGUUCCAAACUUCUCAAUUUUCUGGUUAUUUUCUAUUGUUCUUCUGUCAUAACAGGCUUCUUAGUGUUAGGAGGAAAUUCAGGAGGGUGAGUGUCACCAUAAAGACCAGUUAACUUGAAUAUAGGCUCGAAAGUGUAACGCUGAUCACUAAUAAUAUUCAAUGCAGGCUCUCUUGUAGAGUAGAGAGCUCGUGGAUGAACAUCAAAAGUCGGAGCUUCAGGUAGGGGUGGCGCCGCAAAAGCAUGAACAACAGGUGGAGUCGAGUAUGGAUUGGGGAGUGAGGAAAUGAACAUUGGAAGUGGUUGGAUAUUGUUGCCCCAGAGUCGAUCCUGAUGCAUAUUGUGGCAUAUCAACAAAAAUGGAAAAUUGUGCAUGUGACACAGGAGGCAAGCCAGAAAGAUAUUCCAGAUUAUCAGUGGGAACUGGGGGGAGGUGGCAACCCAUUAGCCCAAGCUCGAUGCAUCUCUAUCAUUUGCUGCCUUCCUAAAUUCUCAUUUCUCGAAAUCCCUAUCUGAUUAGUGACAACAAACUCGGUAUCGUUGUUGGCCAUAACGUUCUCUGUGACUUGGUGCAAUAUGGAGGACCAGCCAAAAUGCCACAAACCAACCACCUUAAACUAACUGAACAAGAGAUAGCAAAUGUGUUAGUUAAACACUUUUCUCAAAAUCUUUUUUUUUCUUUUUGAAAAGGUCACCGAACCCAAGAAGGGCACCUACGUAUCUCAUAUCAAGAAAGAAGAGAAUCAGGUGUGCGUAGUUCGUGAAGUCUUGCCAAAAUGGCCGAUUAAACUCUUUUUUUUUCUUUUUCUUUUUCUUAAAAUUUUAAGAAACAAAGAAAAAUGACAAAUUGUCAAAAGAAUAUACAAAAAUCUUUUUGAAUUUUUCGGCUUUAAUAACCUAUACAAAAUGAAACCUAUGAUUACCAAAGAAACUCUUUUUGGGUUUUCAAUUUUGCAUUUCAUACCAAAAUGAAACUUGAACCUAUUAAAGGAAAAUCUUUUGUAGUUUUCUUUUAAAGAUGUAUAUGAAACACCUACUCUAAAUGAAGACUUAAGAAAAAAUCUUUUUGGAUUUUUGAAUAAGAUCCCCGAACCAACAAUAGGUUGCUAUUGUUGCCUACGUAUCUCACAUCCCGAAAGAGGAGAAUCAGGGGUGCGUAGUUCAUUCAGAUUGGACAAUUAAGGAUUAAAUAACAAACUGAACCCUGACUUGAGAGACACGACGAAAGACAAACGAUGAACAACGUCAAUAAAAUCUUUUUUGAGUUUUCAACUUGACGCUUCACACAAAAAUGACACCAAUAACUAUGAAAGAAAAAUCUUUUUGGUAUUUUCAUCAUAUCAGAUGUACAAAACUUCUACCAUCUUUUUAAACGUUUCUUUUAUAAAAAAACUCCUAUUGAAAUAAAUCUCUUUAAAGUUUUCGAAUUGUGAAUGAUUACCAAAGGAAAUAAAAAAUAAAAUAUUUUUGAUGUUAUUGAUUUUUUUAAAAAUGAGUGCAACACAUAAAAAAUCUUUUUUUGAAUUUUUAAAUUGUGGAAAAUAAAAAUCAUAAAGAACUUUAAAAAUUAAGAUUUUUUUUUGACUCACUCUUUCUUCUUUUUCCUCUCUUUUUUUGAUUUUCCCUCGCCUACACACUCGAUUAAUUCUAGCAAUUGUUUUCUCCAAAUUAGUCUGUCAAAUGACCACGUUACCCUUAGAGAUGCAACAUUUAGCACGUAGGGAUGCUUUAGAGGUGAGUAUACUACAAAGGGCCACGUGGGUCCCAUAGGCUCAAUAUGAUGCAGAUAAGCAUGACCUAAAGGCUGACCUACGUUGGGGUCCACUAACAAGGUUGUUCGGGGGAGCGUAUGGUCGAUAGUGGCUGCGAGAGCUUUCCACCCACUCCAUAACACCGACGGCUCCCCCUCCUAACAUAAGGGUGACUCAACUAGAGGUCGUGUACAACACGUGUACUACAAACUUGUUGCAGAAAGAAUGACUCGGGUUAUGCACAUAACCACUCAAUAAUGAUAAACAAUAACACAAAACAACACAAAUAAAUGUCCAUACACCUAUAGUGCCAAACUGAGCCAAUAAAACUCCAAAAUAAGCUCGAGAUUCUGGGUUCGAUCCCCAGCAGAGUUACCAGAGCUAUCACAUCCUUUUUUUUUUAACUCCAGAAAAGAUUGAUUUUAAGUUCUAAACAAUUUUUAUUAUUAAAGUGAUAAAAUGAUUAAAAUAAAUUCUGAAAAAGAUUAUUUACUCAAAACUCAGAGUCGCCACUUGACAUAAUCCGAUGUGUCAAGUCACCUUUGAAAGAUUCUUUUCAAAACAGUUUGACUCUAAAAACUGAUCUGUGAACAGAUAUUCCGGCUAAGGAAUUCUGCUGACCGAAGGGAAGGCGUUAGGCACCCCUCAAUCCCGUGAUUUGACUAUGGUCGCUUGGUGGAGCAUAUCGGUUAAUUUGACACUACGAAUGUACAAACCACACAAAAACACGUAAAACAAUCAAACAAACAAACAAAACAAAAUGAAUAAAAAAAUAUAGUGUCCAGUCCAACUAUACAGUCCCAAAUAAUGAAAAAUGCGAAAAUGUAAACCCAUUCUAUUCCAAACUAUCCUUAAAAUACUCCUGAAUAAAGCUUCACCCGACGUUUCGGGCUUUGACCGUGCGUUGUCUUCAAGUACAUGAUACUUCGGGGCAUUCCCGGCAAAUGAACACAAAUACCUCGGGGCAUUCUCCAGCCAAAUGAAUACAUCUGAGAUAAUUAGAAAAACGUUCAAAACAUAUAUCUAAACAUUCAAUGAAUUUAAUCAACACAUCAGUGCUAAAUUUUGCCUACCCGAACCUAAACAUUUGCCUAUCCCAUUCGAUCUAUCAUGACACUAUAGAAUUCACAAGCUUGAAAUUAAUUCCACAUUAAACAACAAGAAGACCAACAUUAAUCCAAAUUGACCCUUUUCAUCAAUCUCGAAAUUCCACCUCAAAUUUCUACAAUUCGCAAUUACCAAUUUAGCUAUCCUUAAUCAUUUUUUGAUUCACGAAAUUAAACAACAACUCAACAUCACUCAAAUUUCAUCAUCAAAAGCAUCAAUAUCGAUAAAAUCAAACAAUCAUAAUCAACAAACACCUAAUCACAUUCACAGCCAAUUCAUUCAACCAACCAAAUAAAGAAAAGGAGAUGGGUUAAAGAAAUGGACCUCAAUAUAAUGUUUUUGUCGAUAAUAAAGAAAUUCGAGACCGAAAUCUUCGAAAGGGAACCCCAACAACAAAACAAAACCAACUCGAAUUGGGAGAAAUCCAAACCCGAAACUGAAAUCGAACUUAAAUUCCAAAACUAGUACCGAGCUCGAUGAACCAAAACGGAAAUUGCAAUAAGAGAGUCAAUGAGUUCGAAAAUCCGGUGGACCCGUCGGAACAGGAACAGGAACAGUGAUUGGGUGUUUUCCGGUGGAUUUUGAACUGAAAAACGAGGACCCUUUGCUACUCCUGAGCUCCAGUAAGUUCGGCAGCAACUAGAAACGGAGAUGCGAUCUGUAGCGACAACGUUUCCGGUGAAAAACUCAGUCCAAAUUUCUCUCUCGCACGUUUUUUGUCUGCUUUUAACUCUCAACCUCAAAUCUCACUCUCUCCGGUUCGAUCCCCUCUUUCUCUCUGUUUUUCGCUCGAUCUCGCUUCACCCUCACCCAAUUUUCGUAUAAUCGCCUAUAUCUAUGGGUGUAUUUGAGAGAUGUACGCCUAUGGCAUAUUCUGUGUCUAUCUAGGUGUUGAUGGAUGGGUUAUUUUUCUUAUCAGUGAGUGUGAGGGUAUUUAUGUACUGUGAGAGGAAAUGGUCAGGGAGGCUUCUGUGUGUGUAUAUUGUAUUCUGUGAUGGCGCAGAAGAAAAGAAAAUUCUCCACUCUGUUGUGCGUAUUCCCCCUUGGAGAAGAUGAACUUUCUCUUUCUGCCCCCUUCUCUGUGGGUCCCCCUUUCCCCCUUUUUGUUUUAUAUUCUGUUAUGGACCCCAAAAAGGAAUAAUAUGAGGGGAAAUGGGUGGGGUGAUGUGGGGAGUAGUGUGGGUUGUUAGGAUAAAGUUUGUUAGGAUAAGGUUAGGGAUUUAAUUUGUUAGAGAUUUUUUUAAGGGUUGUUAUUUUUGUAUUUUCGUGGGAUAUAAUUAUACGGAUGAGGACACGUGGUAAUACGGAGGUAAAAUGGUAAAAAUGCUAUCGGGGAGGGACAAAAUUAGGUGUCUACACAAGCUUUGUAAACAACCUCUGGCAUAAGGUUGCGUACAAUGCACCCUUGUGGUGGGGCCUUUUGCUUUAGUGCACCGGGC
This 9987-nucleotide long non-coding RNA is filed under the name Capsicum annuum. Its description in RNAcentral is "long non-coding RNA (CANN_LNC016774)". The record is from RNAcentral. Lineage: Eukaryota; Viridiplantae; Streptophyta; Magnoliopsida; Solanales; Solanaceae.